AGUGAACGCUGGCGGUAGGCCUAACACAUGCCAGUCGAACGGCAGCACAGUAAGAGCUUGCUCUUACGGGUGGCGAGUGGCGGACGGGAGAGGAAUACAUCCGAAUCUACUUUUUCGUGGGGGUUAACGUAGGGAAACUUACGCUAAUACCGCAUACGACCUACGGGUGAAAGCAGUGGAACUUCUGACCUUGCGCGGUUGGAUGAGCCGAUGUGGGAGUAGCUAGUUGGGGGGGUAAAGACCCAGCAAGGCGACGAUCGGUAGCUGGAGUGAGAGGCUGGUAACCGGCCUUGGAACUGAGACACGGUCAAGAGUCCUACGGGAGGGAGCAGUGGCGAAUAUUGGACAAUGGUGGCAAGUCUGGUCCAGCCAUACCGCGUGUGAUACGAAGGCCUUCGGGUUGUAAAGCCCUUUUUUGGGGAAAGAAAAGCAGCAGGUUAAUACCCCGCUGUUCUGACGGUAACCAAAGAAUAAGCACCGGCUAACUUCGUG
RNAcentral lists this ribosomal RNA (492 nucleotides) under uncultured bacterium. Its description in RNAcentral is "partial 16S ribosomal RNA". It matches the Rfam family "Bacterial small subunit ribosomal RNA", at positions 29 to 507 of the family's 1533-position model. The record is from RNAcentral.